AGUCACGUAGUUUGAUCAGUGGCUCAGUAUUGAACGCUGGCGGAAUGCUUUACACAUGCAAGUCGAACGGUAGAGGGGGCCAACCCUUGAGAGUGGCGAACGGGUGAGUAAUAUAUCGGAACGUCGCCCAGUCGGUGGGGAUAACGUAGCGAAAGUUACGCUAAUACCGCAUACGAUCUACGGAUGAAAGCGGGGGGACUCGCAAGAGCCUCGCGCGAUUGGAGCGGCCGAUAUCAGAUUAGGUAGUUGGUGGGGUAAAGGCUCACCAAGCCGACGAUCUGUAGCUGGUCUGAGAGGACGACCAGCCACACUGGGACUGAGACACGGCCCAGACUCCUACGGGAGGCAGCAGUGGGGAAUUUUGGACAAUGGGGGCAACCCUGAUCCAGCCAUGUCGCGUGAGUGAUGAAGGCCUUAGGGUUGUAAAGCUCUUUUGUCCGGGAAGAUAAUGACUGUACCGGAAGAAUAAGCCCCGGCUAACUUCGUG
This 487-nucleotide ribosomal RNA is filed under the name uncultured bacterium. RNAcentral's name for it is "bacterial SSU rRNA". It matches the Rfam family "Bacterial small subunit ribosomal RNA", at positions 1 to 507 of the family's 1533-position model. The record is from RNAcentral.